Molecule: ribosomal RNA, 241 nt
Filed under: uncultured bacterium
Lineage: Bacteria
Description: partial 16S ribosomal RNA
Rfam family: Bacterial small subunit ribosomal RNA
Source: RNAcentral
UACGUAGGGCGCAAGCGUUAUCCGGAAUUAUUGGGCGUAAAGAGCUCGUAGGCGGUUUGUCGCGUCUGCCGUGAAAGUCCGGGGCUCAACUCCGGAUCUGCGGUGGGUACGGGCAGACUAGAGUGCAGUAGGGGGAGACUGGAAUUCCUGGUGUAGCGGUGAAAUGCGCAGAUAUCAGGAGGAACACCGAUGGCGAAGGCAGGUCUCUGGGCAUUAACUGACGCUGAGGAGCGGAAAGCAU